GAUGAAGAACGUAGCGAAAUGCGAUAAGUAAUGUGAAUUGCAGAAUUCAGUGAAUCAUCGAAUCUUUGAACGCACAUUGCGCCCGCGAGUAUUCUCGCGGGCAUGCCUGUCCGAGCGUCAUUUCAACCCUCAGGGCCCGCCUGCUUGCAGGCGCGGCGCUGGCGUUGGGGAUCGGCCCUAACCGGUCGUCCCCCAAAUACAGUGGCGGUCUCGCUGCAGCCUCCCCUGCGUAGUAGCAACACUCGCAUGCGGAGCGCGGCGCGGCCACGCCGUAAAACCCCCGACUUUCUGAACGUUGACCUCGGAUCAGGUAGGAAUACCCGCUGAACUUAAGCAUAUCAAUAAGCGGAGGA
Molecule: unclassified non-coding RNA, 353 nt
Filed under: soil metagenome
Description: partial contains 5.8S ribosomal RNA, internal transcribed spacer 2, and large subunit ribosomal RNA
Rfam family: 5.8S ribosomal RNA (bases 1-120)
Source: RNAcentral